This 773-nucleotide ribosomal RNA is filed under the name uncultured Neocallimastigales. Its description in RNAcentral is "partial large subunit ribosomal RNA". It matches the Rfam family "Eukaryotic large subunit ribosomal RNA", at positions 24 to 640 of the family's 3401-position model. Lineage: Eukaryota; Fungi; Neocallimastigomycota; Neocallimastigomycetes; Neocallimastigales. The record is from RNAcentral.
UAUGUGAUCGUCUCUCGCAUAUCAAUAAGCGGAGGAAAAGAAACUAACAAGGAUUCCCCUAGUAACGGCGAGUGAAGCGGGAAGAGCUCAAAUUUGAAAUCUUAAAGGGUUCCCUUUACGAAUUGUAGUUUAAAGAAGUGUUUUCUGUUGAGGUUUUGGUAAAAGUUCUUUGGAAUAGGACAUCAUAGAGGGUGAGAAUCCCGUAUUUGACCUUUACUUUCAACUUUGUGAUACACUUUCAAAGAGUCGGAUUGUUUGGGAAUGCAGUCCAAAAUGGGUGGUAAAUUUCAUCUAAAGCUAAAUAUUGGCGAGAGACCGAUAGCGAACAAGUACCGUGAGGGAAAGAUGAAAAGAACUUUGAAAAGAGAGUUAAACAGUACGUGAAAUUGUCAAAAGGGAAGCGUUUGACACCAGUGUUGUUUUUCUGAAAAUCAAUUAAAGAACUGUUUAUGCUAAGCUGUUUAGACUUUAUCAGCUAUCUGUUUAGUUUUGAGCUUUUCUUUAAUGCACUUUUCAGUUAACAAGUCAACAUCAAUUUCUUUUGCUGUAAAAAAGCUUGAGGAAGGUGGCUUGAGAUUCGUCUUAAGUGUUUAUAGCCUCUUGCCUAUGCAGUCGGAGAGAUUGAGGUCUGCAGCGUAGAUCCUUCGGGGCUAAAUGCAUUUGUGCUAAGUUAUAGCAUUUUAUAGACAACUUGUUGACUAUGAUUUGUCUUGUAGCUUACUCGCUUAUGUUAUUUUACCUACGCUUAGGAUGUUGAUAUGCAUGACUGAUAU